This 253-nucleotide ribosomal RNA is filed under the name uncultured bacterium. RNAcentral describes it as "partial 16S ribosomal RNA". It matches the Rfam family "Bacterial small subunit ribosomal RNA", at positions 524 to 776 of the family's 1533-position model. The record is from RNAcentral.
UACGGAGGAUGCAAGCGUUAUCCGGAAUGAUUGGGCGUAAAGCGUCCGCAGGUGGCUAUGUAAGUCUGCUGUUAAAGAGUGAGGCUCAACCUCAUAAGAGCAGUGGAAACUACAUAGCUAGAGUGCGUUCGGGGCAGAGGAAAUUCCUGGUGUAGCGGUGAAAUGCGUAGAUAUCAGGAAGAACACCGGUGGCGAAAGCGCUCUGCUAGGCCGCAACUGACACUGAGGGACGAAAGCUAGGGGAGCGAAUGGG